CUGUGGCGAAAUGAUUACAGUGCCAGUCUCUCGAUCGGUUGACCCGGGUACAAAUCCCAGUGGC
This 64-nucleotide transfer RNA is filed under the name Eutreptiella gymnastica. Lineage: Eukaryota; Euglenozoa; Euglenophyceae; Eutreptiales; Eutreptiaceae. The record is from RNAcentral.